UGGGAGUAGAAUAUGUUAAAUCAUUUAAAGUGAUUUGCUCUAUCAUGGAUACGUUUAUCUUAGUGUAUUUUGCAUUAUUUUUGUUGUAGAUUAAAUGGCACCUAGCAACACUACACCAUUUGCUUUGCGUUCAGUCCUUGAGAAGGACAAGUUGAAUGGAACAAAGUACUCGGAUUGGAUCCGUAACCUGUGAAUUGUUCUCAGGGCUAAGAAAAAAGAAGAUGUUCUAGAC
Molecule: long non-coding RNA, 232 nt
Filed under: Setaria viridis
Lineage: Eukaryota; Viridiplantae; Streptophyta; Magnoliopsida; Poales; Poaceae
Description: long non-coding RNA (SVIR_LNC010660)
Source: RNAcentral